UCCGGACUUGUGGAUUGGACUUCCCAGCUUGACCUUGGACUUGCCUUGUCACCUCUCAUUUGUCUGUAUUAUCCUGCUAGAAAAUACUGAUUUAGAGGAAAAGAAUGCCUGUCUAAGAAAAAGAAAUUUUGACCAGCUCUGCUUUGGGCUCAACCCAGAUUCUGUGUGAAGCAGUUGUUGCAGUAGAAGAGCAGGUGUUUGUAGCGACAGAUGCAUAGAAGUACUACGUGCAAGAGCUAGAAGAAAUGACAAAGCAGAACUCGGAUGUUAGAGAUUUUUCUGAAAACGAAGUUGAGAACUACUCUCAUGGUGCUGGCUGCAGGUCAUUGCGUUAAGGAUUGAAAUGAACUUUGGAAACCCAUUUAGAAUGUCUGGGCCAGAGAAGGUUUGCUUGAUGCUGUUCCUGUAGUUCUUUUCCUAUCACUUCUCAAGAUGUCAAGGCCACAAACAAGAGGAGGGUUGUAACCCUGGGGAGACACAUGGACUGCUGCCCAGAGUCACACAAGAGAACAGUCUGACACCACAUGGAAAGAGAGAGAGUAACGGAGUAUCUGAAGUUCUAUAGGGAAGAAGGUGUAGAAGAUGAAGGGCAGGUAAUUUCAAACACUGAACCU
Gymnogyps californianus (California condor) is the source of this 614-nucleotide long non-coding RNA. RefSeq lists it as uncharacterized. NCBI's taxonomy places the organism in Eukaryota, Metazoa, Chordata, Aves, Accipitriformes, Cathartidae. The record is from RefSeq and is a predicted model, not a curated record. The transcript has 6 exons.